AAUACUUGUAGAGAUCUCUAUCUGGAUUGGAUUUGACAUUGAGGCGUCCCCCAACGAUAAUCACAAUUCAGACUUCAUGAGACGGAUUUGAGUAUCACUGAUCAAUGGAUCAGGUUGUGCCAAUCUCGCUUUCUUCCUAGUGCGAGAAUAUAUCGAACCUAAGGGCCUCCCUCCUUUUAGGGAGCCACACGGCCUUGUGACACCAAUUUUGCCACUAUAUGGCGUCACCAUAUCACCAUCCAUGGUGAUGGCGCCAAGACCAACUUCUUUUGGUCGCGCCAUGUCCAUUUGUAGGACAUCAAUCCUUGCAGACAUAUUUGCAGCAUGUGAUCUCGUCACUUUAACACUAUAAGCAUUUGGGAUCAAGAUGAGACUUAGUGGGGACAAACCACGACAAUUCACGUCGUUCCACUUGAACACUUGUGUUCUUAUCUCCCCCUAACGGCGGGAAUAUUGUCUCAUCAAAGUGACAAUCCGCAAUUUAGCGGUGAAUGAGAUCGCUUGACAAGGUUUCUACAUAUACGGAUUAUAGGUGGAGGUUCAUAUCCAACCUAAACUUAUUCAUCUCAAAUGACCAAUCAUUGUACGCAAUGGCAAUGCGAUUUGGCAUCUAUAAAUAACAUCUAGCCGAGCUCAAGGAUUGGAGAUCCGUUUCAAUCUUGCCGAGCUCAAGGAUUACAAUUUCGUGUCAAUCUUGGUACACAGUCACGAGCUGUAGUACAACAAAAUUCAAUGAUGGUGGGUCGUAGAUGAAUAGUAAAGCUGCAUGCAAAUAUUGCAUAGCCCCAAGACGCAAUAGAAAGAGUGGUGCGCAUCAAUAAUGUUCGAGCGACAAGCUAAAGUUGCUUGGUCGUAGCCUCGAUGAGACCGUAUUGCGUGUGAACAUGGGGCACAGGACACUUCAACUUACAUCCCGAUCAACUUCUUUAAAAAAUGGGUAGUGAGCCCGUAGAAGUAUAAGUAGCAUAAGCAGUAGAUAAUAGUGUAACACGUGACCAGUGUGUUAACACUUCAACCAACACCAUAAAGCAUAAAAAGGUGUCCGCAAGUUGGUUGUAUCUAUCUACAUAGUUUGAUGUAAGAAUAGAAUGUUCACUUUUGUGUUAUUUAGCGUAGGAGGGUCUCACUCCUUAUUUAGCUAAAGAAUAGGCUUUCAAAACGAGCAAUGAGCAUUGCAGGGGGCCAAUGCGACAUCGAGAAAAGGCCGGUGCACCUCAAUUGCUUGAGGAAUUGACCGGACGACCUCCAGGAAGUUAGAGUCGUGUUCGGGUGACCUCAAUGUCCCCCGGGUCACCACCAUGCUUCAUGGUGAUGCUAGAUCUCGAAUGUCUUCGUUUUGAGCGGAAGAAUGGAUGUCCAUGAGAUUUUCUCAAAAUUUGGACCAUUAUAUCUCUU
RNAcentral lists this long non-coding RNA (1395 nucleotides) under Fragaria vesca (wild strawberry). Its description in RNAcentral is "long non-coding RNA (FVES_LNC004853)". The record is from RNAcentral. Lineage: Eukaryota; Viridiplantae; Streptophyta; Magnoliopsida; Rosales; Rosaceae.